RNAcentral lists this non-coding RNA (178 nucleotides) under Anaerolineae bacterium. RNAcentral describes it as "6S RNA". It matches the Rfam family "6S / SsrS RNA". Rfam says of the family: E. coli 6S RNA was the first non coding RNA to be sequenced, but its function was unknown until recently. It consists of 184 nucleotides that fold into an extended hairpin structure with a large single-stranded internal bulge. The 6S RNA specifically associates with RNA polymerase holoenzyme containing the sigma70 specificity factor. The record is from RNAcentral. Lineage: Bacteria; Bacillati; Chloroflexota; Anaerolineae.
ACUGCCCUGCUGUGUACGUGAUGUAGCACCUCCGGUUUUGAGCCAACACUCUCUGUAAGGGGCCUUCAUCUUACAGAAGCAACGCGAUAGGCUCGAGCCAAGGCGGCGCUUCUGGGUCGAGGCCCACCUGCGCAAGCAGGUUCAAAACUUGGCUGCACACGGCAUAAGCGGGGUUUCU